AUACACAGCCAUACUACUCUGAAUGAACCAGAUUUUAGCUGAUCUCAGAAGCUAAGCAGGAUCAAACCUGGUUAGUGCUUACA
RNAcentral lists this ribosomal RNA (83 nucleotides) under Nannospalax galili (Upper Galilee mountains blind mole rat). The record is from RNAcentral. Lineage: Eukaryota; Metazoa; Chordata; Mammalia; Rodentia; Spalacidae.